This 253-nucleotide ribosomal RNA is filed under the name uncultured bacterium. Its description in RNAcentral is "partial 16S ribosomal RNA". It matches the Rfam family "Bacterial small subunit ribosomal RNA", at positions 524 to 776 of the family's 1533-position model. The record is from RNAcentral.
UACGGGGGGUGCGAGCGUUGUCCAGAAUCACUGGGCGUAAAGGGCGCGUAGGUGGUUUGAUAAGGGUGUGGUGAAAGUCCGGGGCUCAACCCCGGAUCUGCCGUGCCGACUGUCAAACUCGAGGGCUGUAGAGGCAGACGGAAUUCCGGGUGUAGCGGUGGAAUGCGUAGAGAUCCGGAGGAAGACCGGUGGCGAAGGCGGCGACCUGGGCAGAUACUGACACUGAGGUGCGAAAGCGUGGGGAGCAAACAGG